CCUACGGGUGGCAGCAGUGAGGAAUAUUGGUCAAUGGACGAGAGUCUGAACCAGCCAAGUAGCGUGAAGGAUGACUGCCCUAUGGGUUGUAAACUUCUUUUAUAAAGGAAUAAAACGAGGCACGUGUGCCUUUUUGCAUGUACUUUAUGAGUAAGGAUAGGCUAACUCCGUGCCAGCAGCCGCGGUAAUACGGAGGAUCCGAGCGUUAUCCGGAUUUAUUGGGUGUAAAGGGAGCGUAGAUGGGUUGUUAAGUCAGUGGUGAAAGUCUGCGGCUCAACCGUAAAAUUGCAAUUGAUACUGGAAGUCUUGAGUACAGAUGAGGUAGGCGGAAUUCGUGGUGUAGCGGUGAAAUGCUUAGAUAUCACGAAGAACCCCGAUUGCGAAGGCAGCUUACUAAACUGUGACUGACAUUGAUGCUCGAAAGUGUGGGUAUCAAACAGGAUUAGAUACCCCUGUAGUC
Molecule: ribosomal RNA, 460 nt
Filed under: uncultured bacterium
Lineage: Bacteria
Description: partial 16S ribosomal RNA
Rfam family: Bacterial small subunit ribosomal RNA
Source: RNAcentral